Amphiprion ocellaris (clown anemonefish) is the source of this 525-nucleotide long non-coding RNA. The record is from Ensembl. Lineage: Eukaryota; Metazoa; Chordata; Actinopteri; Pomacentridae.
GUCUGAUCUAAUCUAUAAAUCAUGAGUCCUUUCUUCAUCCUGUCUGCUGUUUCUGAAUGAUGUAUUUAUAUUUCUGUGUGUUUCAUCUCCUGUUUCCUCUAAAACAGUGUGUGAUACGCUGCAGCAGAAAUUAACCGGCCUCCUGCUUCGGAUAAAUAAACCUCUGGCAGCUUUCCUGCGAUGCCUUCAGGUGCUCUCAGGUUAUUAAUGGUCCAGACUCGGGGCUGUAACCUCCGGCUUCACCUCGGCUCUGUAAACAGCAGCAUGGUGGGAAAGUUGGGUCCAUCCGUCUCACUUCCUGUCAGAGGUAUCACGGGAAAACAGCAGCGACAGGAAGGAGGGAUGAGGGACGGACAGCGACGAGAGAGCAACGAAGGAUGAGCUCACGGGGGGAGAUGGAGCUUCCAGGAUCCCUGACGGAAACCGAAGCAGCAGCGAGCCGACAAAGUGGAGGGUUUGAGAGCGGCGAGGCGGAGGAGGAGGAACAGGAGAACAGGUGAGGCUUUGUCUGGACGGCUCUCCGAG